This 253-nucleotide ribosomal RNA is filed under the name uncultured bacterium. Its description in RNAcentral is "partial 16S ribosomal RNA". It matches the Rfam family "Bacterial small subunit ribosomal RNA", at positions 524 to 776 of the family's 1533-position model. The record is from RNAcentral.
UACGUAGGGUGCGAGCGUUAAUCGGAAUUACUGGGCGUAAAGGGUGCGCAGGCGGUUGAUUAAGUCAGAUGUGAAAUUCCCGGGCUCAACCUGGGGACUGCAUUUGAGACUGGUCGGCUGGAGUGUGUCAGAGGGGGGUGGAAUUCCACGUGUAGCAGUGAAAUGCGUAGAGAUGUGGAGGAACACCGAUGGCGAAGGCAGCCCCCUGGGAUAACACUGACGCUCAUGCACGAAAGCGUGGGGAGCAAACAGG